UUUUUAAUAAUUAUUAGUAUGUUUUAAUUAAAGAAUUAAUUUUUAAAGUAAAUUGAACUAAUUUUUUUUAUUAUAGUCUACAAGUACUGUGAAGGAAUUUUGAAAUAUUUGAAAAAAGAAAGAAUUUUUAAGAAGGUUUAAUUUUUUGUACCUUGUGUAUCAGGGUUGAUUAAUUAUUAAUUAUAAAAUUUAAUUGUCUCGAAUUGGGUAGGGCUAAGAAUUAAUAGAUUUUAAUGUUAAAUAAUUAUUUAUAAUUAAUUUUUUGUAAUGAAAUGUUAGUCGUUUCCUAAUAUAUCUAGUUUUUUAAGAAAAAAUUUUAAUUUUAUUAUUUUUUUUUACUUUACUAUUAAUGUAAAUGUAAGAAUUGAAUAGUGUAUAUUUUGAGGGAUGAGCUUCAAUUUAUAUUUUUAUAAAUUUAUUUUAGUGUUUAGUAAUUUGUAUGAUUAGAAAUUUUUUUCAUAAAGUUUGUUAUAAUUUUUUACAAUUUAUUUUGCAUUUAUUUUUUUUUAGGUUUAUUAUUAAAAUGAUUUUUAAAAUUUUAUUUUAAAUUUAAUAAUGAUUAAAUUAGUAAAUAAUUAAUUUAUUGUGUAAUUAUUUUUUUAAGUUAGGUUUAAGGAACUCGGCAAAUUUAAUUUCUGCCUGUUUAUUAAAAACAUGUCCUUUUGUUUAAAAUUUAAGGUCUGAUCUGCCCAAUGAUUAUUUUUAAUGGCCGCGAUAUUUUGAUCGUGCGAAGGUAGCAUAAUCAUUAGCUUUUUAAUUGAAAGCUGGUAUGAAUGAUUGGACGAGAAAUUAACUGUCUCAAAUUUAUUUAUUGAAUUUUAUUUUUUAGUUAAAAAGCUGAGAUUUGUUUGUAAGACGAGAAGACCCUAUAGAGUUUUAUAUUGAUUAUAUUUAUUAAAAUUUUAGUUUUUAAAUUAUUUUAUUUAUUAAAAUAUUUAGUUGGGGUGACGGAAAAAUUUAAUUAACUUUUUCUUUUUGUUUUAUAUAGAUUUAUAGGUUUUUGAUUUUAAAUUUAAAUUAAAAGAUUUAAUUACCUUAGGGAUAACAGCGUAAUUCUUUUUAAGAGUUCAUAUCGAAAAAGGAGAUUGCGACCUCGAUGUUGGAUUAAAGUUAAAUUUUGGUGUAGAAGCUUAACAAUUUUAGUCUGUUCGACUAUUAAAACUUUACAUGAUCUGAGUUUAAACCGGCGUGAGCCAGGUUGGGUUCUAUCUUCAAUUGUAUAAAAUAUUUUAGUACGAAAGGACCAAAUAUUUGUUAAAUUAAUUUUUACUUUGAUUAAUAAUAU
This 1285-nucleotide ribosomal RNA is filed under the name Agrilinae sp. 1 ACP-2013. RNAcentral's name for it is "16S ribosomal RNA". The stretch from base 598 to 1285 matches the Rfam family "Archaeal large subunit ribosomal RNA", at positions 1423 to 2827 of the family's 2987-position model. Lineage: Eukaryota; Metazoa; Arthropoda; Insecta; Coleoptera; Buprestidae. The record is from RNAcentral.